Long non-coding RNA from Heterocephalus glaber (naked mole-rat), 727 nucleotides. NCBI's taxonomy places the organism in Eukaryota, Metazoa, Chordata, Mammalia, Rodentia, Bathyergidae. The record is from Ensembl.
CAAUAGUUCUCCCUACAACUAUGUGUGUCAGCUGGCCUCAGGGGUUGCAGGAGUUGAGAGUUGCUUCAAUGGAAUACACAGUUUCUCUCUCUUCACUCUAGCAGGAUACAACAUGAGAUCUAUGUAGAAAGAGCCUGGAUAGAAGCAAUGGACCAUGUGUUGGGUGUAUAUGAGAAGUGAUCAUCGGCUGGAAGCCCACUAGACAAUUUCCUGAUGUGGAAGGAGCUCAGAGAUUGCUCCAGUACUUCAAGAAAGAAAAAUGAGUUCCCAUCACAAGUGUCUAGCAACAUGCUCCUUCAAAGCAUCCACCCCAGUCCUGAGAAUUACGGCCUCUGCAAGAACCAGCAAGACGAGGACUCGUAUCAGUCCAUGAACAGAAGCAGCAGUUCCGAGGUCCUGAGAGUAAUGCUCUGGAAAGCAUCCUGGUACCAGGGAUGGAACUCAAGACCUUGCACUUGUGAGCCAGGCACGGCACCACUGAGCUAAAUUCCCAGCCCUAGAAGAAUUUCAGCCUCUGAGGAAUCUUUGCAAGAGGAAAAGAAAAAUGAGCACAUUUGAUGGACAGAUGAGGGAAGAGCCAGAAAACCCCUGUAGCGUAAUAUCUGAAAAAGAACUAUGGAAAUCAAUUUCAGUCUUACAAGAAUGUGAGCUGCUUCAUACAGAUUCCUCCUCCUUGUCCCCUACAAUACGACAAAUGAAGUAUUUCUCACUGAUAUUUUAGUAUGAG